RNAcentral lists this ribosomal RNA (1222 nucleotides) under Vreelandella venusta. Its description in RNAcentral is "bacterial SSU rRNA". It matches the Rfam family "Bacterial small subunit ribosomal RNA", at positions 253 to 1471 of the family's 1533-position model. Lineage: Bacteria; Pseudomonadati; Pseudomonadota; Gammaproteobacteria; Oceanospirillales; Halomonadaceae. The record is from RNAcentral.
CGUGUAAAGGUCUCACCAUGCUCGAUCGUAGCUGGUCCGAGCGGAUAUCAGUCAACUUCAGGACUGAGAACACGUCCGGAACUUCCUACCGGGAUGCAGCAGUUGGGCAUAUGGACAUCGGCGAAAGCCUGAUCAGCAUGCGCGAGUGUGGAAGAAGGCCUCGGUUGUUAAGCACUUUCAGCGAGAAGAACGACUAGUGGUGAUACCCAUAGGCAAAGACAUCACUCGCAGAAGAAGCAGCCGGCUAACUCUGUGCUCAGCAGCCGCGGUAAUACGGAGGGGUGCAAGCGUUAAUCGGAAUUACUGGCGUAAAGCGCGCGUAGGUGGCUUGAUAAGCCGGUUGUGAAAGCCCCGGGCUCAACCUGGGAACGGCAUCCGGAACUGUCAAGCUAGAGUGCAGGAGAGGAAGGUAGAAUUCCCGGUGUAGCGGUGAAAUGCGUAGAGAUCGGGAGGAAUACCAGUGGCGAAGGCGGCUUUCUGGACUGACACUGACACUGAGGUGCGAAAGCGUGGGUAGCAAACAGGAUUAGAUACCCUGGUAGUCCACGCCGUAAACGAUGUCGACCAGCCGUUGGGUGCCUAGCGCACUUUGUGGCGAAGUUAACGCGAUAAGUCGACCGCCUGGGGAGUACGGCCGCAAGGUUAAAACUCAAAUGAAUUGACGGGGGCCCGCACAAGCGGUGGAGCAUGUGGUUUAAUUCGAUGCAACGCGAAGAACCUUACCUACUCUUGACAUCCUGCGAACUUGUGAGAGAUCACUUGGUGCCUUCGGGAACGCAGAGACAGGUGCUGCAUGGCUGUCGUCAGCUCGUGUUGUGAAAUGUUGGGUUAAGUCCCGUAACGAGCGCAACCCUUGUCCUUAUUUGCCAGCGCGUAAUGGCGGGAACUCUAAGGAGACUGCCGGUGACAAACCGGAGGAAGGUGGGGACGACGUCAAGUCAUCAUGGCCCUUACGAGUAGGGCUACACACGUGCUACAAUGGCCGGUACAAAGGGUUGCGAGCUCGCGAGAGUCAGCUAAUCCCGAAAAGCCGGUCUCAGUCCGGAUCGGAGUCUGCAACUCGACUCCGUGAAGUCGGAAUCGCUAGUAAUCGUGAAUCAGAAUGUCACGGUGAAUACGUUCCCGGGCCUUGUACACACCGCCCGUCACACCAUGGGAGUGGACUGCACCAGAAGUGGUUAGCUUAACCUUCGGAAAGCGAUCACCAGAGAUGUGACAUCCC